Molecule: ribosomal RNA, 253 nt
Filed under: uncultured bacterium
Lineage: Bacteria
Description: partial 16S ribosomal RNA
Rfam family: Bacterial small subunit ribosomal RNA
Source: RNAcentral
UACGUAGGGGGCAAGCGUUGUCCGGAAUUAUUGGGCGUAAAGGGCUCGUAGGCGGUCUGUCACGUCGGGAGUGAAAACACGGGGCUUAACCCCGUGCCUGCUUCCGAUACGGGCAGACUAGAGGUAUGCAGGGGAGAACGGAAUUCCUGGUGUAGCGGUGAAAUGCGCAGAUAUCGGGAAGAACACCCGUGGCGAAGGCGGCUCUCUGGGACGGUACUGACGCUGAGACGCGAAAGCGUGGGGAGCGAACAGG